UAUAAAGGAGCCUUCACGAGCUCUUGCUCAACAUGCAGCGAUUACCUCCUGGACAGGCAGAGAAUUUCACAGCCACUAGAUGAUCAAGAUGGUCUACGCCAUUGUGAUGUUCACAACGAUACUCAUUUCUAUAGUUAAGCAAG
This is a long non-coding RNA of Rhipicephalus sanguineus (brown dog tick), 143 nucleotides long. RefSeq lists it as uncharacterized. NCBI's taxonomy places the organism in Eukaryota, Metazoa, Arthropoda, Arachnida, Ixodida, Ixodidae. The record is from RefSeq and is a predicted model, not a curated record. The transcript has 3 exons.